This 83-nucleotide transfer RNA is filed under the name Clostridia bacterium. RNAcentral describes it as "tRNA-Leu". It matches the Rfam family "tRNA". From Rfam's summary of the family: Transfer RNA (tRNA) molecules are approximately 80 nucleotides in length. Their secondary structure includes four short double-helical elements and three loops (D, anti-codon, and T loops). Further hydrogen bonds mediate the characteristic L-shaped molecular structure. tRNAs have two regions of fundamental functional importance: the anti-codon, which is responsible for specific mRNA codon recognition, and the 3' end, to which the tRNAs corresponding amino acid is attached (by aminoacyl-tRNA synthetases). tRNAs cope with the degeneracy of the genetic code in two manners: having more than one tRNA (with a specific anti-codon) for a particular amino acid; and 'wobble' base-pairing, i.e. permitting non-standard base-pairing at the 3rd anti-codon position. The record is from RNAcentral. Lineage: Bacteria; Bacillati; Bacillota; Clostridia.
GCGGAUGUGGCGAAAUUGGCAGACGCACUAGGUUUAGGUCCUAGCGAGAAAUCGUGUAGGUUCAAGUCCUAUCAUCCGCACCA